AUUGAAUUGUUAAGUGAAUGAGUGAAUGGUUGUCUUAUUGGAUAUCUUCUGAGAUGGUGGACGGACCGGGUAUAUGGGAAACCCUACUGUGGAUGUUAUCUCAUAUCAGAUGGAGUAUUGAGGAGUGAUAUUUUGGCGUUCAUACCAGACAGGAUAUGGGAACGGCCCAAUUCACGCUCAUACCGGACGGAGUAUUGAGGGAUUGUAUUGUUGGCGCUCAUACCAGACGGGGUAUGGAGAUGGCUCGAUUCAACC
Molecule: long non-coding RNA, 255 nt
Filed under: Carica papaya (papaya)
Lineage: Eukaryota; Viridiplantae; Streptophyta; Magnoliopsida; Brassicales; Caricaceae
Description: long non-coding RNA (CPAP_LNC007504)
Source: RNAcentral